GAUGAACGCUAGCUACAGGCUUAACACAUGCAAGUCGAGGGGAAACGAUAUUGGAAGCUUGCUUCCGAUAGGCGUCGACCGGCGCACGGGUGAGUAACGCGUAUCCAACCUGCCCAUCACUUGGGGAUAACCUUGCGAAAGUAAGACUAAUACCCAAUGACGUCUCUAGAAGACAUCUGAAAGAGAUUAAAGAUUUAUCGGUGAUGGAUGGGGAUGGGUCUGAUUAGCUUGUUGGCGGGGUAACGGCCCACCAAGGCGACGAUCAGUAGGGGUUCUGGGAGGAAGGUCCCCCACAUUGGAACUGAGACACGGUCCAAACUCCUACGGGAGGCAGCAGUGAGGAAUAUUGGUCAAUGGGCGAGAGCCUGAACCAGCCAAGUAGCGUGCAGGAUGACGGCCCUAUGGGCUGUAAACUGCUUUUAUAAGGGAAUAAAGUGGGAGUCGUGACUCCUUUUGCAUGUACCUUAUGAAUAAGGACCGGCUAAUUCCGUGCCAGCCGCCGCAGUAA
RNAcentral lists this ribosomal RNA (508 nucleotides) under uncultured bacterium. RNAcentral describes it as "partial 16S ribosomal RNA". It matches the Rfam family "Bacterial small subunit ribosomal RNA", at positions 28 to 523 of the family's 1533-position model. The record is from RNAcentral.